This 616-nucleotide long non-coding RNA is filed under the name Rattus norvegicus (Norway rat). RNAcentral's name for it is "long non-coding RNA NONRATT033484". The record is from RNAcentral. Lineage: Eukaryota; Metazoa; Chordata; Mammalia; Rodentia; Muridae.
GGACUUGCAGGAGCGAGAGACCUGAGCUCUCCCCUGGGGCCUGUUGCUUGGUGAUAUUCCUGCCUGGUUACAGACCCUGGUCCCCUAAGAACGUGAGCGGGAAACUGCAGAGCGGAUUCAGGCUCACUCCGCCCCAUGCUGGAGGAAGUGUCAGGAUCCAUCGAGCAGGGACACCUACCCAAUGGCCAGAGUUGACCGACACCAGGAGCAUCUCAAGGCAUCCCCGCUCCUCCGAAUCUCAGCAUCCAGGAUGAAGGUCAAGUGCUUACAGCAGGAGUUCACUGAUAAAUAAUUGCAAGACAGGCUGACUGCAGGUGGGCUCCCAAACACAGCAUCGUCUCUAGGCCCCCUGGACAUUGGAUGUUAGAACGGAGGAGGUACGGGGGUAGAAAAGGGAAGAAUGUUCUGAUGAUGGGGGACCUCCACCUCUUACUGAGGCUGUAGACCAGGCUUCUGGUCCACCGGAAAAAUAGAAGUCAGAAUUUUUCUUUUGCUUCCCUCAUUCUUCCACAUCAUAGACGAGAAAGGUUCCAAGGGGCUCAAUGGGAGAGACCUGGCAGGGACACAAUGACCCCAAGUAAGCCCUCCCUCCUCACCCUUUCCCCCCCCCCUCCUC